GGAGCUGACCAUUCUGGAGAGAGGCAUCAUCGUCAUCAUAAGCGCCAUCGUAGAGGAUUUAUUUCAGAGCAUGAUUAUCCUCAAUAGUCUUCAUAUUAUUGACAUCCUCCAAAUGCUCAAAAUGCACCACAUGGAGGAUGUCAAUAAACACAGGUUUGCCUGGAAGACUGACUCGAUCUCCCUGUGUAUUGAAUCUACAAGUCUACAAAUUCAUCAAUCUCUCCAUUAGAUGAUAG
Molecule: long non-coding RNA, 236 nt
Organism: Vombatus ursinus (common wombat)
Lineage: Eukaryota; Metazoa; Chordata; Mammalia; Diprotodontia; Vombatidae
Exons: 4
Source: RefSeq, a predicted model, not a curated record